UUAAAAAGCUCGUAGUCGGAUUUUGGCUGAGAACGGUCGGUCCGCCGUUAGGUGUGCACUGACUGGUCUCAGCUUCCUGGUGAGGAGGUGUGCUUCAUCGCCACUUAGUCACCGUGGUUACUUUGAAAAAAUUUGAGUGUUCAAAGCGGGCUUACGCUUGAAUAUAUUAGCAUGGAAUAACACCAUAGGACUCCUGUCCUAUUUCGUUGGUCUCGGGACGGGAGUAAUGAUUAAGAGGAACAGUUGGGGGCAUUCGUAUUUCAUUGUCAGAGGUGAAAUUCUUGGAUUUAUGAAAGACGAACUUCUGCGAAAGCAUUUGCCAAGGAUGUUUUCAUUGAUCAAGAACGAAAGUUGGGGGCUCGAAGAUGAUUAGAUACCAUCCUAGUCUCAACCAUAAACGAUGCCGGCUAGGGAUUGGCGGAUGUUAAUUGAUGACUUCGCCAGCACCUUGUGAGAAAUCAAAGUUUUUGGGUUCCGGGGGGAGUAUGGUCGCAAGGCUGAAACUUAAAGGAAUUGACGGAAGGGCACCACCAGGCGUGGAGCCUGCGGCUUAAUUUGACUCAACACGGGGAAACUUACCAGGUCCAGACAUAGUAAGGAUUGACAGAUUGAGAGCUCUUUCUUGAUUCUAUGGGGUGGUGGUGCA
Molecule: ribosomal RNA, 646 nt
Filed under: uncultured marine eukaryote
Lineage: Eukaryota
Description: SSU rRNA
Rfam family: Eukaryotic small subunit ribosomal RNA
Source: RNAcentral